GCCGCCUUAGCUCAGUUGGUAGAGCAACACUUUUGUAAAGUGAAGGUCCCCGGUUCGAGCCCGGGAGGCGGCU
Molecule: transfer RNA, 73 nt
Filed under: Parcubacteria bacterium C7867-007
Lineage: Bacteria; Candidatus Parcubacteria
Description: tRNA-Thr
Rfam family: tRNA
About the family: Transfer RNA (tRNA) molecules are approximately 80 nucleotides in length. Their secondary structure includes four short double-helical elements and three loops (D, anti-codon, and T loops). Further hydrogen bonds mediate the characteristic L-shaped molecular structure. tRNAs have two regions of fundamental functional importance: the anti-codon, which is responsible for specific mRNA codon recognition, and the 3' end, to which the tRNAs corresponding amino acid is attached (by aminoacyl-tRNA synthetases). tRNAs cope with the degeneracy of the genetic code in two manners: having more than one tRNA (with a specific anti-codon) for a particular amino acid; and 'wobble' base-pairing, i.e. permitting non-standard base-pairing at the 3rd anti-codon position.
Source: RNAcentral